Molecule: non-coding RNA, 87 nt
Organism: Cryptococcus depauperatus CBS 7841
Lineage: Eukaryota; Fungi; Basidiomycota; Tremellomycetes; Tremellales; Cryptococcaceae
Source: Rfam
UGCCCCGUGGCUGAGUUGGUUACAGCGGUUGACUGUUAUGUUUGCAUAAUUAUCAGACGGUCGAGAGUUCGAGUCUCUCCGGGGCAG